AGUGUUGCUAAAGCACAAGUCUUUUUUUCAAGCCUUGAAUCAAGUGUACUGCAGUUGAGAGUUGUUAAAUGCUUGAUAUAACAGGGGCAUAGUGACAAACUCCAUAGUGCAAACUGUUACACGAAGGUUGAAUUAAUUCUUAAUGAAAUUAGUAAAUGUCUAUAGUAACAGGGACAUAGUAGCUAAUUUCACCUAUAUGUAUAUUGAAGUGAUGCCGCUUCAAGUAAGAUCUAAAGGGUUGGUCUUGUAAAUAUUCAUGAAAUCAGGAUGAGCACAUGGUCAUAAACGUGCUAAAGCAUAUAUUGAGUUUCAAAGCUAUAAAUAAUAUUAUGUGUGUGAUAUUUUCGAUUUUGACACAAGAUGUUGUGGUUCAAAUCUUUUAAGAUACUAAUUACUUCGUCAGAACUUUAAAGUACUUGCACUAAUAGAAAGUUCAAAUCAAUUAUAAGAUACUCUUAGGUAUGCAUGACAUUAUGAGAAAUAUUACAAACUAGUGGGGGACUGUUGGAUAUUUUGUAAUAUAUAAAGGUCUUAAAUUGAACAGACACGUUUGUUCGUAAAAGAACAUGACUAUUAUGAAAAAUCUUUUGUUCAGGAAAGAACAUGACCUUUAUGAAAAAUCAUAUGUUCAUGAAAGAACUCGACUCUUAUGAAAAGUCAUAUGUUCAUGAAAGAACAUGACUCUUAUGAAGAGUUAUCUCUUAAGUUCUAUAAAAUAUAAAGACUAUCUAAGAAGUAGCCUAUGAAAAAUCUGCAUGUAUAAACAAAGGGCUUUGUUGUAUCCUUGAAGAGAAUUGUUUGCAUUACCCCAAUGUGUAUAUGGGCAAUAACUCUUUAAAGAAUGUGAUUACACGCCUCAAAGCCAUCUUCUUCUUCAAUUAUAUUUUCUACUAUUAUUUUUCUAACAGCUAGUAUGAAAUUGAUUAGGCACUUACCCACAUGAUUUGGCCCAUCUUUCUUUCCUCCAUGAUAAAAUACUACUCAGUGAGAUAAUGUAGUCAAGUCAAUAACAAACCAAAGCAAAAGUUUGAUAUAUAAAUGAAAGUUCACCUUCUUGUGCCAUAUACUAAAUAGAUUUGAAAAUUUUGUCAAAGGUAGCUCUUCCAUGAGGAAUUCCUACUAGUAGACUUUCUUGUACUCAAAGUGAAUUGUCUAAAUCCUCUCCAUUAUCUCAUUGUUUAUCUUAUAUAAUCAUCUGAUUCUGCCCCUGAAGCUACCUCCUACUUCUUAUCUUUUAGGAUAGGAUCCUCCUUAAUCCUUUUUACAUCACAUUCUCGACUGCCUCCUAUCCGUAACAUCUAAACUUUAUAAGGUUAUGUGUGUUAUUUAGUAGUCUCAAGAAUGGAAUCUAUAAUGAUGAAGCAGUUGGAAUGUUGUUUACAAGUCUAUGAAGAAAGAAUCAAAAAGAGACAAGAAAGGCCACUUUCUUAAAACCAAUCAAGGCAUAAAGAAUGAAGAAGGUGAAAAGAGUUCUAGAGGAUAUGGACAAGAAAGAAAACGUGACAGUUGUGGAAGAGGAAGAAACAAUCGAAACAAAAGCUAACAAUGAAAAGAAAAGUCAAUACUCAAUUAUCAUUUAAAGGUUGUGGACUUGUGGUCAUGGAAAAGAAAGAUAAUUGUAGGUCAUGAUAUUUGGAUAAUAGAUCAAGCAACCAUAUGUGUGAAUAAAAAGAAAGCAUUGUCAAAAAGGAAGUAAGAGUGGAGUUCAAAUAUGUGAUGAAUCAUAAUCAAGUUGUGGAUAUCAUUAUUAAGCUUUUCAAGUUUAUUUGAAAAUUGAGAUUAACAUUUGAAACAAAGAAGAAAAUUUUAAAUUACAUUUACAGAUUUACUACAUCCCUAACGACUCUUCUUCUUCUUUCUCAUUAUCCACAAGGUUGGAUUUCCCUUCGAUUAUUGCUAUGACAUUUCCAAGAAAAAUGAUUAAUUUAUGCUAAUCAUAACACUCAAUUAUAAAUUUGUCAAACCUUUUUUCAUGUGUUUCUUGAUGGUAACCACAUCUUUUUCCUCUUUUUUAUUCAUGAUUACAACCUAUAAAUGAUCAUUGGUUUUCUCUUCAUUGUUGGGUUUGUACUUGUUACUAUUACUUCUUCCUCUUCCACCAUUAUCAUAUCCUCUUAUCAACUAGUAGCAUUCAUCAACGCUUCGAUGAUAUCAUGUUUGAAAAAUGACUAAUGCAACAAUCUAAAAAAAAGUUUAAAAGAUUUUACAAAAUUCUCUCAGAAAAGUUGAUAAUAAUGUGAAAAACAAAUAUCUUCAAUCUCCAAAGGAUGAACUUGAAGCAUUUAAAUCGAAGAAAUUUGAAUACAGUUCAAAUUGUUAUUUAAGAGCACCCGGAGCGGCAGAGGUUGUUGUGAACAAAUUAAAAAGAAAGUGGAAGAUGUCUAUAUGUUAGAGAAGUUAU
Molecule: long non-coding RNA, 2401 nt
Filed under: Solanum tuberosum (potato)
Lineage: Eukaryota; Viridiplantae; Streptophyta; Magnoliopsida; Solanales; Solanaceae
Description: long non-coding RNA (STUB_LNC003868)
Source: RNAcentral